GGGUUAACGCCUCCGGGCACAAUCCCCACCCUUUGUAACCGCGGCCCGGAUUCGGCGCCUGGCGGGGACCGCCCCCCGUUCGCGGGGGGUCCCCGCCUGCCGGAAUUAGCCAACCCUGCCUAGAAAAUUGAAGUCUGAGAACAAGUUAAAUUAAACAAAACUUUCAACAACGGAUCUCUUGGUUCU
RNAcentral lists this unclassified non-coding RNA (186 nucleotides) under rhizosphere metagenome. RNAcentral describes it as "partial ribosomal RNA internal transcribed spacer region". The record is from RNAcentral.